UAGGGAAUCUUCGGCAAUGGGGGUAACCCUGACCGAGCAACGCCGCGUGAGUGAAGAAGGUUUUCGGAUCGUAAAGCUCUGUUGUUAAGUAAUAACGAGGUGGAGAUUGGAAAGUUCAUGCUUUAACGUUACUUAACCAAAAGGGGACGCCUACCUACUUGCCAGCAGCCGCGGUAAUACGUAGGUCCCGAGCGUUUUCCGGAUUUAUUGGGCGUAAAGCGAGCGCGGGCGGUUAGAAAAGUCUGAAGUGAAAGGCAGUGGCUCAACCAUUGUAGGCUUUGGAAACUGUUUAACUUGAGUGCAGAAGGGGAGAGUGGAAUUCCAUGUGUAGCGGUGAAAUGCGUAGAUAUAUGGAGGAACACCGGUGGAGAAAGCGGCUCGCUGGUCUGUAACUGAAGCUGAGGCUCGAAAGCGUGGGGAGCGAACAGG
Molecule: ribosomal RNA, 429 nt
Filed under: Bacteroidota bacterium
Lineage: Bacteria; Pseudomonadati; Bacteroidota
Description: Bacteroidetes bacterium partial 16S ribosomal RNA
Rfam family: Bacterial small subunit ribosomal RNA
Source: RNAcentral